UACGAGGGGGGCUAGCGUUGUUCGGAAUCACUGGGCGUAAAGCGCGCGUAGGCGGUGCGAUAAGUCAGAGGUGAAAGCCCGGGGCUCAACCCCGGAAUUGCCUUUGAAACUAUCGCGCUGGAGUCUCGUAGGGGAUAGCGGAAUUCCUAGUGUAGAGGUGAAAUUCGUAGAUAUUAGGAGGAACACCGGUGGCGAAGGCGGCUAUCUGGACGAGUACUGACGCUGAGGCGCGAAAGCGUGGGGAUCAAACAGG
This 253-nucleotide ribosomal RNA is filed under the name uncultured bacterium. RNAcentral's name for it is "partial 16S ribosomal RNA". It matches the Rfam family "Bacterial small subunit ribosomal RNA", at positions 524 to 776 of the family's 1533-position model. The record is from RNAcentral.